This 468-nucleotide ribosomal RNA is filed under the name uncultured bacterium. Its description in RNAcentral is "partial 16S ribosomal RNA". It matches the Rfam family "Bacterial small subunit ribosomal RNA", at positions 28 to 507 of the family's 1533-position model. The record is from RNAcentral.
GAUGAACGCUGGCGGCGUGCUUAACACAUGCAAGUCGAACGGAAAGGCCCUGCUUUUGUGGGGUGCUCGAGUGGCGAACGGGUGAGUAACACGUGAGUAUCCUGCCCUUGACUGUGUGAUAACUUCAGGAAACUGGGGCUAAUACCGGAUAGGAGCUCCUGCUGCAUGGUGGGGGUUGGAAAGUUUCGGCGGUGGGGGAUGGACUCGCGGCUUAUCAGCUUGUUGGUGAGGUAGUGGCUUACCAAGGCGUUGACGGGUAGCCGGCCUGAGAGGGUGACCGGCGACAUUGGGACUGAGAUACGGCCCAGACUCCUACGGGAGGCAGCAGUGGGGAAUAUUGCACAAUGGGCGGAAGCCUGAUGCAGCAACGCCGCGUGCGGGAUGACGGCCUUCGGGGUGUAAACCGCUUUCGCCUGUGACGAAGCGUGAGUGACGGUAAUGGGUAAAGAAGCACCGGCUAACUACGUG